GUGGUCCCGGAGCGGGGUAGAGGAGGAUAGGGGAGGUCCCGGAGCGGGGCAGAGGAGGAUAGGGGAGGUCCCGGAGCGGGGCAGCCGGGAAUAGGGGUCGUGCCGGAGCGGGGCGGGGGAGGAGAGUGGUGGCGCCGGAACGGAGCGGCGGUUGGGGCGCCUAGAAGGGACCUAGCUGAGACGGCGGAGGUAGGAUGACGGGGUCUCCUAUAGCUCUACACUCGACCAGCUGUGUUAAGCCCUCGUCCGUAUACCUUAACCUAGCUCUAGGUCACGUAGUAGUUCAGCGAGACCCUUCCUCAAGCGUCGAGCGCAUGCACGAGAUGUCCUAGUCGGAUUAGAGAGACAGCGGCGACAACAACCGAACGUUAUCUGGUCUGAUAAAGGUCUCCAUGGUGUUUCACCAACUAAGUUUCAAGCGUGAUAAAUAUAGUGUCCUACCAUGUUUACCUCUUUUUUUAUUCCGGACCUCGAUAUGGGUUUAAAUACGUCGGGUUACUUCACAUAGCGGAACUCGAGGUAAUAAAUCCGGUCUAGAGUACUCUACACAACACUGUUAACGUAACCGUAUGUUAUUCCACAACAUACCACCAACGGAAGAACAUGUACUCGAACGCUGACGCCCUCUAGUGCUGAACAAGAAAACUUAAAAAAACCAAGUAGUGUACUAGGAAGUUCGGUCGGUUCCCCCUCUAGCCACUUCUCCACUUCAUCUUUUACGACGUGCCUUAUCCUCCGUAUAGAAGUUGACCAAACUACGUACAACCUUCUCCAGGACUUUCCCUCAUGCAUGGGGUGAUGCGACUCUAGGCCUGUAUGACAUAAGAGUUGCCGAGGACAAUACUUUGUGAAGACUUGGGACGGACUUGAAUCACACGAUACGUUUAGUACUACAUGACAUUCAUAUUUUAAUGUGCAACAGUCUAAUUUUCUCGUUAAGGAAAACAGAAUACAGACUGGUUUUCUGCACGUUUAAGUCAACUAGAUUGAACACGUGACGGUCCAAACCGUCAUCAGUAUACAUAACCUCUACAACGACCGAUGUCCCCACUACUGUGGCCUCCAUUCCGUCGCGCGGCCCAGCUCCUGCAGCGACUGUGGCCCCCGCUCCCGCCGCAGCACUGCUGCCGCAUAACUCCUCUCAAUCCCGACGUUCCGCCCAGCUCCUGCAGCGCCUCUGGUCCCCGCUCCCAGCGCACGGUUCCCGCCGGCCCGCCCCGCCCCGCCUCGCUCCUGGCGCCCUGCCGCACGGCUGCGCUCCAAGCACCGCACCACCGCAACUAACGCCUCUAUCCCGUAAUAAGCGACCUACCUCAACAAUAGCAACCCUACACAUCCUCGGACCUGCACCCUCAGACGGCCGUCUUGUAAAGCAAACUUGGCAGCUAGAUAAACAUAAUACCAACUACUUUGCACCUGACAACCUACCAUCAAUCACCCAUACUAGCCUGCAGAACCCAUUAGGACACACGUGAAAAAGCACACCUACAUCCCCUUCAUUGCAAACCAGAAAAUUAUCAUCAUAUCUAUAUCUACUUUCAGCGUG
Molecule: ribosomal RNA, 1546 nt
Filed under: Triticum aestivum (bread wheat)
Lineage: Eukaryota; Viridiplantae; Streptophyta; Magnoliopsida; Poales; Poaceae
Description: partial small subunit ribosomal RNA
Source: RNAcentral